This 774-nucleotide long non-coding RNA is filed under the name Homo sapiens (human). Its description in RNAcentral is "non-protein coding lnc-GPR75-ASB3-3:2". The record is from RNAcentral. Lineage: Eukaryota; Metazoa; Chordata; Mammalia; Primates; Hominidae.
CUUGCAGUCUGCUGAGGGGAACAUCCAAAACUAUCUGAAGCCCCGGGCUGAACCAGGCUCUGCAGACAUUGGUGGUGUCCUAGAAGGCUCUUGCUGAGGUCUUAUGUCUGAAAAGAAACCCUCGGAAACCCACUUGAGUCUGUCUUGCAUUUCACAUGAAACAAGGCUUCAUUCUGCAAAAAUAUCUGGGACCUUCAAAUUCACAAGUGGAUUUUCUGCUCAGGGGAGAGCUACCAAUCGGUUGAAAGGUAUGUUACAGCUCUAAGAAGCUGCAUCCAUUUCCUGUAGGAUCCAUAGUUUCUGGUUCUGGUUCCAGGGAACUCCUUCAAAUGAACUGGUCGCCAUAUGAAUUGAUGCUACACUUUGAGCGUUGCCGCAGUCAGGUGAAUUCAAGCUACAGAGAAGAGGCGAUUCACAUUUUUUCCUUCUGUCUUGUAUUAUUCCUCCGGCUCAAGAACCUGCCAGAGAUGGAAUCUCCCUAUGUUCCCCAGGCUGAUCUUGAAUUUCUGAGCUCAAGCGAUCCUCCUGCCUUGGCCUCCCAAAGUGCCAGGAUUAUAGGCGUGAGCCACCAUGCCUGGCCAGAGAGCAUUUUAGUAAGGAUAAAAAGUUUUAUUGGCCUCAGGCUGAAGUUUGCAAUUAUAUUCCAAAUACCCAAAGUGGGUAUAUUAUUGACGUUGUCCUGAGAGAGGGACAGACAGUUUGACUGUGUUGCUUUCUUUGGAGUCAGUUUUGGGGCUGUUAAGGAUUACCUGGAAACAUUAGAUGAAGCUGGGG